Molecule: ribosomal RNA, 465 nt
Filed under: Vreelandella stevensii
Lineage: Bacteria; Pseudomonadati; Pseudomonadota; Gammaproteobacteria; Oceanospirillales; Halomonadaceae
Description: partial 16S ribosomal RNA
Rfam family: Bacterial small subunit ribosomal RNA
Source: RNAcentral
CCUACGGGUGGCAGCAGUGGGGAAUAUUGGACAAUGGGGGGAACCCUGAUCCAGCCAUGCCGCGUGUGUGAAGAAGGCCCUCGGGUUGUAAAGCACUUUCAGUGAGGAAGAACGCCUGGUGGUUAAUACCCAUCAGGAAAGACAUCACUCACAGAAGAAGCACCGGCUAACUCCGUGCCAGCAGCCGCGGUAAUACGGAGGGUGCGAGCGUUAAUCGGAAUUACUGGGCGUAAAGCGCGCGUAGGUGGCUUGAUAAGCCGGUUGUGAAAGCCCCGGGCUCAACCUGGGAACGGCAUCCGGAACUGUCAAGCUAGAGUGCAGGAGAGGAAGGUAGAAUUCCCGGUGUAGCGGUGAAAUGCGUAGAGAUCGGGAGGAAUACCAGUGGCGAAGGCGGCCUUCUGGACUGACACUGACACUGAGGUGCGAAAGCGUGGGUAGCAAACAGGAUUAGAUACCAUAGUAGUC